Molecule: ribosomal RNA, 425 nt
Filed under: uncultured bacterium
Lineage: Bacteria
Description: bacterial SSU rRNA
Rfam family: Bacterial small subunit ribosomal RNA
Source: RNAcentral
UGAGGAAUUUUCCGCAAUGGAGGAAACUCUGACGGAGCAACGCCGCGUGCAGGAGGACGCUUUUCGGAGUGUAAACUGCUUUUCUGUGGGAAGAGUUUGGACGGUACCACAGGAAGAAGCCCCGGCUAACUACGUGCCAGCAGCCGCGGUAAUACGUAGGGGGCGAGCGUUGUCCGGAGUUACUGGGCGUAAAGGGCAUGCAGGCGGUCGGACGCGUUUUGUGUGACAGCGGGUGGCUUAACUACCCGAGUAUGCGAAAGACGGUUUGACUUGAGGGCUCGAGAGGGACACGGAAUUCCGGGUGGAGUGGUGAAAUGCGUAGAGAUCCGGAGGAACACCGAAGGCGAAGGCAGUGUCCUGGCGAGUGACUGACGCUGAGGUGCGAAAGCUAGGGGAGCGAACGGGAUUAGAUACCCCUGUAGUCC